This 253-nucleotide ribosomal RNA is filed under the name uncultured bacterium. RNAcentral's name for it is "partial 16S ribosomal RNA". It matches the Rfam family "Bacterial small subunit ribosomal RNA", at positions 524 to 776 of the family's 1533-position model. The record is from RNAcentral.
GACAGAGGAUGCAAACGUUAUCCGGAAUGAUUGGGCGUAAAGCGUCUGUAGGUGGCUUUUCAAGUCCGCCGUCAAAUCCCAGGGCUCAACCCUGGAUAGGCGGUGGAAACUACCAAGCUGGAGUACGGUAGGGGUAGAGGGAAUUUCCAGUGGAGCGGUGAAAUGCAUUGAGAUCGGAAAGAACACCAACGGCGAAAGCACUCUGCUGGGCCGACACUGACACUGAGAGAUGAAAGCUAGGGGAGCAAAUAGG